GACGGGGCCGCACAAGCGGUGGAGCAUGUGGUUAAUUCGACGCAACGCGAAGAACCUUACCAGGGCUUGACAUCCCCUGACCGCGUAUGAAAGUACGUUUUCACCCUCGGGUGACAGGGAGACAGGUGGUGCAUGGUUGUCGUCAGCUCGUGUCGUGAGAUGUUGGGUUAAGUCCCGCAACGAGCGCAACCCCUACGUUUAGUUGCUAACAGGUGAAGCUGAGCACUCUAGACGAACUGCCGUUGACAAAACGGAGGAAGGUGGGAUGACGUCAAAUCAUCAUGCCCCUUAUGUUCUGGGCUACACACGUGCUACAAUGGCCGGUACAGACGGAGGCGAAGCCGCGAGGCGGAGCAAAUCCGAAAAAGCCGGUCUCAGUUCGGAUUGCAGGCUGCAAUUCGCCUGCAUGAAGUCGGAAUCGCUAGUAAUCGCAGGUCAGCAUACUGCGGUGAAUACGUUCCCGGGCCUU
Molecule: ribosomal RNA, 469 nt
Filed under: uncultured Pelotomaculum sp.
Lineage: Bacteria; Bacillati; Bacillota; Clostridia; Eubacteriales; Desulfotomaculaceae
Description: bacterial SSU rRNA
Rfam family: Bacterial small subunit ribosomal RNA
Source: RNAcentral